Chelonia mydas (Green sea turtle) is the source of this 3811-nucleotide long non-coding RNA. RefSeq lists it as uncharacterized. The transcript has 5 exons. The record is from RefSeq and is a predicted model, not a curated record. Lineage: Eukaryota; Metazoa; Chordata; Testudines; Cheloniidae.
AACAGAGACUGUGCGAGGGAGGGUGGCUUCUCCUCACCUCCCUUGCUGGUUUAUGAUGAAAAUGGCUCAGUAGGCUGUGACCCUUGCCUCUAGAGGAAGAAGGGGUUCGUAGACGGUCACAGUGAACCUCUGAGGCUAGCGAAAUCUGCCAGGAACUGCGGGACCCACUGAGAUAAGGAUUGGGUAGAGGCAGUUUCCUUUCUUGUGGAUCACAAAGUAUUGAGUAGAAGCUCUUCCUCAGAAACUUCCGAGGAACUCGCUCGGAUAGGAGGCACCUGACAACUCUUCAAGAAGGUCUCAUGAGAAGGAUCCUGGAAAAGGAUUGGGAAAGGAAGAACAAUGCUAUGGCAGCAGAGUGCCUGGUACCAAAAAGGAGUGAGCUGCUGAUGGAGCCACUUCCCCUUCAGUCCAGUGAACUCAGAGCACCUGUGCACAUUUUGACAUUGGUGACAACUCUCAGUACCAAGGACAACUCCCGAAGUUAAGAAGGUGCUGAUCAUAGCAAGGCCUUUGAAGAUCCAGUGCCUUUCUGGAUGUUGGUGCCAAAGACAGCAACAACUUGGAAUUCAGCAGGUAAAAGACGAAGGCCCACCAAACACUAAGGGAGUGGAGUCUUUGUUCAUCUGCAGAAGCAUGCAGUUUUGGGAAGAUCAGAGAGCCCAUUUCUUGGUUGGGUAACUGUCACCGAAACAGAAAAAGGGUUUAACCCUUGGUGAAUGGACUCCUGGAUUAGCAAGAUAUCAUUAUCUAGUGGAAAAGCCUGACUGAGGUUCUGGGUCCCCAUUGGAACAAAAUUAGGUAAAGACCUGAAGAGUUUACCAAGCCUGAAAAUUCCAAAUUGUGGUGCUGUAGCCUUAAGCUUCCCAGUAAUUCCCAGGAUGUGUGAGGAUAUUGCCUUGUUGAAAGCUGAUCAUUUCUUUAUAACUCUUUAAAGGAAUUCUAUUAACUUCAUCUCACUAAAAGCAGCUUCAAUGAGAUUUGCCUCUGGAAGUGGUAUCCAGACAGACCUCCAGGAUAAGAUUCUACAUAAAGAAGUAUUGCAAAAAAGAACAGAAAAUCUGGUCGUCUUAUGAGGCUCCAUUUUGGAAGCACUAGUUGCAACCUUGUAGCUAAAGCUGAAUUCUAUUUUGCAUAUAAGGAUUAAACCUUUGCUUUGCAUAAAAUAUAGUAUCCAGUAUUAAACCUGGAACAGCUGAUAUGAGAUUUGAUGAAUAAAGAAUUAAAGAAAGGUAACAUAAUGCCAAUGAACAUAGGUAUAUGGAAAACAGACAUCGUGAAACUAAUUUGGUAUUUUUUUUUUAAAUGAGAUGACAAGUUUAAUUGAUAAAGGUAAUUGUUUUGAUGUAAUAUACUCAGUCUUCUCUAAGGUAUUUGAUUUGGUACUGCAUGACAUUUUGAUUAAAAAUGCUAGAAUGAUAUAAAAUUAAUAUCACAGUAAAUAGAUUAAAAGCUGGCUAAAUGAUAGGUCUCAAAGUGUACUGUAAAUGGGGAAUCAUCAUUGAGUGGGUGUGCUCCUAGUGGGGUCAUGGAAGGAUCUGUUUUUGACCCUAUGCUAUUUAAACAUUUUUAUUAAUGACCUAAAAGAAAAAACAAAAUCAUCAAUUAUAAAGUUUGCAGACGACAAAAAUUGGGGAAGUGGUAAAUAAUGAAGAGGACUAGAGCAAUCUCAAUUGGUUGGUAAACUGGAUUCAAGCAAAUAUGUAUUUUAAUACACCUAUAACUGUAUACAUCUAGGAAUGAAGAAUGUAGGCCAUUACAUGAUGUGGGACUCUACUCUGGGAAACAGUGACUCUGAAAAAGAUUGAGGGGUCAUGGUGAAUAAUCAACUGACCAUGAGUUCCCAGUGUGACUCUGUAGCCCAAAAGGGUUAAUGUGUUCAUUAGAUGCACAUAAACAGGGGAAUCUCAAAUAGAAAUAGAGAGGUUAUUUUACCUCUGUAUUUGGCAUUGGUGUGAUUGCUGCUGGAAUAUUGUGUUGAGUUCUGGCAUCCACAAUUCAGGAAGGAUGCUGAAAAAUUGGAGUGAAAUCAGGUAAUAGUCUUUGGAAUAAUAAAAGGAUUAGACAACAUGUCUUAUUGUGAUAUAUUGAGCUCUUUGAGUCUAUUUAGUUUAAAAAGGUUAAGGGAUGAAUUGAUUGCAAUCAAUAAGUACCUAGAUGGGGACAGGUAUAACACAAUCCAAUGUCUAGAAGUUAACGCUAGACAAAAAAUUAAACUGGAAAUAAGGCAUAAAUGUUUAACAGUCACAGUCAUUAACUAUUGGAAAAACAUACCAAGGGGUGUCAUUUUUAAAUCACGAUUGGAUGUUUGGUCCCUUCUGGCUUGGAAUCUAUGAAACUUACAGCAUUUAUUCUGAAUUUGAACGGAAUAUCUGAGAAUUUACAGGUAAAUCCUUUAGUUUAUAAAUUAAAAUUAAUGUAAAAUUUGGUCCCCUUUGACACAGAUGCUAAAUUUUAGUCUUUGUUCCAAAUUUUCUUAACAAUAGAAUAAAAGACACUUCAAAAUUUCCACAAUGAAAGUUAAUUAAAAUGUUAUGCAUAGACUAUAUCUGAAACUUAAUUAAGACUUGAUGGCUAAGUUAUUAACAGCUGUUAUAUCUCAAUGUUAUGAUUAUAUACGAUGCAGACAGAUUCAGAUCAACAGCUCAGAUAACCCCUAAGUGAGGCCACUGUGACUAGAGCGGAGAGAAAUUUUUUGGCUGAAACUUUUUUCACCAACAAAAGGCAGAUUUUGUGACACAAACAUUUCAUGAAUAUUUUGCUGAAUUGUUUGUGUAAAAAAAACAAAUGCUGAAAAAGUCAGCGUUUUGUUUUGACAUUUUCUAAAUGAAACAUUUUUAGUUCAAAAUGACAUUUGGAUUGUUUUUAAAAUAAAUAAACUGAAGGAAUUUCAAAACAAAAAAUGCUCAAAAUCUACAUGAAACAUUGCACUUGAACUGAACUUUUACAUACUUUUUUAGAAUUGUCAGUGAAUAAAAAAAAUAAAAAUCUAUUCUUCACGCAGGUCUAACUGUGAUAUCACAGCUAAUUUGCAUGAACAAUUUUUUUCAUAUUGACUCAGUAAUAUGAGGGAGAUUAGACAUACGUCAAGAGUUCUCAUUGGUAGAUUACCUAGCUUAACUGUAUUUUAUAUGAAGAAUCCAUAGCGGCAAUGUAGUUUGGGUAUCAGUGCUUGACAGGAUCCCAGUGGCACUGCACUCUCAGUUUCACUGCAUUUCACAGACAUCAGGACUCAGCAAUCAGGCUCCCCUGCUCCCUUCUUCAGAUAGCAACAGUCUCAAUAAGUCAAUGCAAAUUAAAGGUCAGAUUCACCAAUAUGCUUCAGAUGCUUUACCUACUCUGGUGAUUCAAAGUAGCCGUAAAUCUAGCAUAACUGGUGCACGCUGACUACUUUGGCAUACCAGUGAAGCUGCUUUUUAACAGCUAUUUUUUAUUAAAGAAAUUGAUUUAAGGCUAAUAUGAUGUAUUUUACAAUAAUUAGAUGUGACAUGGUAGAAUUUUCUAUUUUUUGUUUUGUGUUCAUGUAUAAACGUUUUCAUAAUAAUAGUACUAAUACAGGAAAUUCCCAGAGAAAAGACUAUGUUAAAAUGGAUUAAAGCUGAGAGUAUGUACCAAUAGUUUUAGAAUAAAAGUCAUUACAAGGAUGAUGGAAUUAUUGCUGAACCACGCAUUAUAAACCCAGGAAAGUCAGAGUUAAUGUUACACUGAAAAGAAACCUAAAAAUUUUUGUUAAGAUAAGAAAAGCACUCAAAUAACCUUGACUCUACCUUGUGUAGUAGGAAGAGAGCCUGAGACAUGAGCCAUUGUAUCAGAG